RNAcentral lists this ribosomal RNA (253 nucleotides) under uncultured bacterium. Its description in RNAcentral is "partial 16S ribosomal RNA". It matches the Rfam family "Bacterial small subunit ribosomal RNA", at positions 524 to 776 of the family's 1533-position model. The record is from RNAcentral.
UACGAAGGGUGCAAACGUUGCUCGGAAUCAUUGGGCGUAAAGCGCCCGUAGGCGGCUCCGCAAGUCGGAUGUGAAAUCCCUCGGCUCAACCGAGGACGUGCAUCCGAAACUGCAGAGCUUGAGUAUGGAAGAGGGUCGCGGAAUCCCCGGUGUAGAGGUGAAAUUCGUAGAUAUCGGGGGGAACACCAGUGGCGAAGGCGGCGACCUGGGCCAAUACUGACGCUGAGGUGCGAAAGCGUGGGGAGCAAACAGG